This 234-nucleotide ribosomal RNA is filed under the name uncultured Actinomycetales bacterium. RNAcentral's name for it is "partial 16S ribosomal RNA". It matches the Rfam family "Bacterial small subunit ribosomal RNA", at positions 97 to 334 of the family's 1533-position model. The record is from RNAcentral. Lineage: Bacteria; Bacillati; Actinomycetota; Actinomycetes; Actinomycetales.
GGCUAACGGGUGAGUAACACGUGGGUGAUCUGCCUUGCACUUCGGGAUAAGCUUGGGAAACUGGGUCUAAUACCGGAUAGGACAGCUGUUUAGUGUCAGUUGUGGAAAGUUUUUUCGGUGCAAGAUGAGCUCGCGGCCUAUCAGCUUGUUGGUGGGGUAAUGGCCUACCAAGGCGUCGACGGGUAGCCGGCCUGAGAGGGUGGACGGCCACAUUGGGACUGAGAUACGGCCCAG